Molecule: transfer RNA, 76 nt
Filed under: Patescibacteria group bacterium
Lineage: Bacteria
Also listed under: 1 other name
Description: tRNA-Thr
Rfam family: tRNA
About the family: Transfer RNA (tRNA) molecules are approximately 80 nucleotides in length. Their secondary structure includes four short double-helical elements and three loops (D, anti-codon, and T loops).
Source: RNAcentral
GCCGGCUUAGCUCAUCUGGUAGAGCAGCGGUAUCGUAAACCGCAGGUGGUCGGUUCGAGUCCGACAGCCGGCUCCA